Molecule: ribosomal RNA, 468 nt
Filed under: uncultured bacterium
Lineage: Bacteria
Description: partial 16S ribosomal RNA
Rfam family: Bacterial small subunit ribosomal RNA
Source: RNAcentral
GACGAACGCUGGCGGCGUGCUUAACACAUGCAAGUCGAACGGACAGGCCCUGCUUUUGUGGGGUGCUCGAGUGGCGAACGGGUGAGUAACACGUGUGUAAACUGCCCCUGACUUUGGGAUAACUUCAGGAAACUGGGGCUAAUACCGGAUAGGAGCUCCUGCUGCAUGGUGGGGGUUGGAAAGUUUCGGCGGUUGGGGCUGGACUCGCGGCUUAUCGGCUUGUUGGUGGGGUAGUGGCUUACCAAGGCUCUGACGGGUAGCCGGCCUGAGCGGGUGACCGGCCACAUUGGGACUGAGAUACGGCACAGACUCCUACGGGAGGCAGCGGUGGGGAAUAUUGCACAAUGAGCGGAGGCCUGAUGCAGCAACGCCGCGUGCGGGAUGACGGCCUUCGGGUUGAAAACCGCUUUCGCCUGUGACGAAGCGUGAGUGACGGUAAUGGGUAAAGAAGCACCGGCUAACUACGUG